AUGCUACACAUGCAGUCCGACGUGAAAGGGGAGCAAUCCCCCGGUAGGGUGGCAAACGGGUGAGUAAGACAUGGGUGAUCUGCCCUGGAGAUGGGGAUAUCCCUCCGAAAGGGGGGGCAAUACCGAAUAGUAUCCGGUUCCGUGAAGGGGGCCGGGGAAAGGGAGGCCUCUGGUACAAGCUUCCGCUCCUGGAUGAGCCCAUGGCCCAUCAGCUAGUUGGUAGGGUAAAGGCCUACCAAGGCGACGACGGGUAGCUGGUCUGAGAGGACAACCAGCCACACUGGCACUGAGACACGGGCCAGACUCCUACGGGAGGCAGCAGUGAGGAAUAUUGCGCAAUGGGGGCAACCCUGACGCAGCAACGCCGCGUGUGGGAAGAAGGCUUUCGGGUUGUAAACCACUUUUGCCCGGGACGAAAGGGGGGGCCUGAAUAAGGUCACCCGAUGACGGUACCGGGAGAAUAAGCCACGGCUAACUCUGUGCCAGCAGCCGCGGUAAGACAGAGGUGGCAAGCGUUGUUCGGAGUUACUGGGCGUAAAGAGUCUGUAGGUGGUCUGUCAAGUCUUUGGUGAAAGGCCGUGGCUUAACCAUGGGAAUGCCAAAGAGACUGGCAGACUGGAGGCUGGGAGAGGGAAGCGGAAUUUCUGGUGUAGCGGUGAAAUGCGUAGAUAUCAGAAGGAAGGCCGGUGGCGAAGGCGGCUUCCUGGAACAGACCUGACACUGAGAGACGAAAGCGUGGGGAGCAAACAGGAUUAGAUACCCUGGUAGUCCACGCCCUAAACGAUGGGUACUAAGUGUGGGAGGGUUAAACCUCCCG
Molecule: ribosomal RNA, 817 nt
Filed under: uncultured Leptospirillum sp.
Lineage: Bacteria; Pseudomonadati; Nitrospirota; Nitrospiria; Nitrospirales; Nitrospiraceae
Description: bacterial SSU rRNA
Rfam family: Bacterial small subunit ribosomal RNA
Source: RNAcentral